UGAGGAAUAUUGGUCAAUGGGCGCGAGCCUGAACCAGCCAAGUAGCGUGAAGGAUGAAGGUCCUACGGAUUGUAAACUUCUUUUAUAAGGGAAUAAAGUCACCCACGUGUGGGUGUUUGUAUGUACCUUAUGAAUAAGCAUCGGCUAACUCCGUGCCAGCAGCCGCGGUAAUACGGAGGAUGCGAGCGUUAUCCGGAUUUAUUGGGUUUAAAGGGAGCGUAGACGGGCCGUUAAGUCAGCUGUGAAAGUUUGAGGCUCAACCUUAAAAUUGCAGUUGAUACUGGCGUCCUUGAGUACGGUUGAGGCAGGCGGAAUUCGUGGUGUAGCGGUGAAAUGCUUAGAUAUCACGAAGAACCCCGAUUGCGAAGGCAGCCUGCUAAACCGCCACUGACGUUGAGGCUCGAAAGUGUGGGUAUCAAACAGGAUUAGAUACCCUGGUAGUCCACACGGUAAACGAUGGAUACUCGCUGUUGGCGAUAGACUGUCAGCGGCUUAGCGAAAGCGUUAAGUAUCCCACCUGGGGAGUACGCCGGCAACGGUGAAACUCAAAGGAAUUGACGGGGGCCCGCACAAGCGGAGGAACAUGUGGUUUAAUUCGAUGAUACGCGAGGAACCUUACCCGGGCUUGAAUUGCAAACGAAUUGCUUGGAAACCGGCAAGCCGCAAGGCGUCUGUGAAGGUGCUGCAUGGUUGUCGUCAGCUCGUGCCGUGAGGUGUCGGCUUAAGUGCCAUAACGAGCGCAACCCUCGUGUCCAGUUACUAGCAGGUUAUGCUGAGGACUCUGGCCAGACUGCCAUCGUAAGAUGUGAGGAAGGUGGGGAUGACGUCAAAUCAGCACGGCCCUUACGUCCGGGGCUACACACGUGUUACAAUGGGGGGUACAGCAGGCAGCUACCGGGCGACCGGAUGCCAAUCCCGAAAGCCUCUCUCAGUUCGGACUGGAGUCUGCAACCCGACUCCACGAAGCUGGAUUCGCUAGUAAUCGCGCAUCAGCCACGGCGCGGUGAAUACGUUCCC
This 1017-nucleotide ribosomal RNA is filed under the name uncultured bacterium. RNAcentral describes it as "bacterial SSU rRNA". It matches the Rfam family "Bacterial small subunit ribosomal RNA", at positions 355 to 1375 of the family's 1533-position model. The record is from RNAcentral.